UGGGAAUUUGGACAAUGGGCGAAAGCCUGAUCCAGCAAUGCCGCGUGUGUGAAGAAGGCCUUCGGGUUGUAAAGCACUUUUGUCCGGAAAGAAAUCCUUGGCUCUAAUACAGUCGGGGGAUGACGGUACCGGAAGAAUAAGCACCGGCUAACUACGUGCCAGCAGCCGCGGUAAUACGUAGGGUGCAAGCGUUAAUCGGAAUUACUGGGCGUAAAGCGUGCGCAGGCGGUUUGCUAAGACCGAUGUGAAAUCCCCGGGCUCAACCUGGGAACUGCAUUGGUGACUGGCAGGCUAGAGUAUGGCAGAGGGGGGUAGAAUUCCACGUGUAGCAGUGAAAUGCGUAGAGAUGUGGAGGAAUACCGAUGGCGAAGGCAGCCCCCUGGGCCAAUACUGACGCUCAUGCACGAAAGCGUGGGGAGCAAACAGGAUUAGAUACCCUGGUAGUCCACGCCCUAAAACGAUGUCAACUAGUUGUUGGGGAUUCAUUUCCUUAGUAACGUAGCUAACGCGUGAAGUUGACCGCCUGGGGAGUACGGUCGCAAGAUUAAAACUUAAAUGAAUUGACGGGGUCAUAGCUGUUUCCU
RNAcentral lists this ribosomal RNA (584 nucleotides) under uncultured bacterium. RNAcentral's name for it is "partial 16S ribosomal RNA". It matches the Rfam family "Bacterial small subunit ribosomal RNA", at positions 357 to 1375 of the family's 1533-position model. The record is from RNAcentral.